RNAcentral lists this ribosomal RNA (253 nucleotides) under uncultured bacterium. Its description in RNAcentral is "partial 16S ribosomal RNA". It matches the Rfam family "Archaeal small subunit ribosomal RNA", at positions 474 to 727 of the family's 1478-position model. The record is from RNAcentral.
UACCAGCACCCCGAGUGGUCUGGACGAUUAUUGGGCCUAAAGCAUCCGUAGCCGGUUCUACAAGUCUUCCGUUAAAUCCACCUGCUUAACAGAUGGGCUGCGGAGGAUACUAUAGAGCUAGGAGGCGGGAGAGGCAAGCGGUACUUAGUGGGUAGGGGUAAAAUCCGUUGAUCCAUUGAAGACCACCAGUGGCGAAGGCGGCUUGCCAGAACGCACUCGACGGUGAGGGAUGAAAGCUGGGGGAGCAAACCGG